Molecule: ribosomal RNA, 34 nt
Filed under: uncultured Pezizaceae
Lineage: Eukaryota; Fungi; Ascomycota; Pezizomycetes; Pezizales; Pezizaceae
Description: partial 28S ribosomal RNA
Source: RNAcentral
ACCUCAAAUCAGGUAGGGAUACCCGCUGAACUUA